Molecule: ribosomal RNA, 253 nt
Filed under: uncultured bacterium
Lineage: Bacteria
Description: partial 16S ribosomal RNA
Rfam family: Bacterial small subunit ribosomal RNA
Source: RNAcentral
UACGUAGGGUGCAAGCGUUACUCGGAAUUACUGGGCGUAAAGCGUGCGCAGGCGGUUUUGUAAGCCAGGUGUGAAAUCCCCGGGCUCAACCUGGGAAUGGCAUUUGGGACUGCAAGGCUGGAGUGCGGCAGAGGAGACUGGAAUUCCUGGUGUAGCAGUGAAAUGCGCAGAUAUCAGGAGGAACACCGAUGGCGAAGGCAGGUCUCUGGGCAUUAACUGACGCUGAGGAGCGAAAGCAUGGGGAGCGAACAGG